GCAAGCCGAGCGGUAUUUGUUCUUCGGAACAGAGAGAGCGGCCCAAGGGUGCGGAACACGUGUGCAACCUGCCUUUAUCUGGGGGAUAGCCUUUCGAAAGGAAGAUUAAUACCCCAUAAUAUAUUGAGUGGCAUCAUUUGAUAUUGAAAACUCCGGUGGAUAGAGAUGAGCACACGCAGGAUUAGAUAGUUGGUGGGGUAACGGCUCACCAAGUCAAUGAUCUUUAGGGGGCCUGAGAGGGUGAUC
This 246-nucleotide ribosomal RNA is filed under the name uncultured bacterium. RNAcentral's name for it is "partial 16S ribosomal RNA". It matches the Rfam family "Bacterial small subunit ribosomal RNA", at positions 57 to 305 of the family's 1533-position model. The record is from RNAcentral.